RNAcentral lists this ribosomal RNA (576 nucleotides) under uncultured bacterium. Its description in RNAcentral is "bacterial SSU rRNA". It matches the Rfam family "Bacterial small subunit ribosomal RNA", at positions 28 to 650 of the family's 1533-position model. The record is from RNAcentral.
AACGAACGCUGGCGGCAUGCCUAAUACAUGCAAGUCAAACGAGAUCUUCGGAUCUAGUGGCGCACGGGUGCGUAACGCGUGGGAAUCUGCCCUUGGGUUCGGAAUAUCUUCUGGAAACGGAAGCUAAUACCGGAUGAUGACGUAAGUCCAAAUAUUUAUCGCCCAAGGAUGACCCCGCGUAGGAUUAGCUAGUUGGUGAGGUAAAGGCUCACCAAGGCGACUAUCCUUAGCUGGUCUGAGAGGAUGAUCAGCCACGCUGGGACUGAGACACGGCCCACACUCCUACGGGAGGCAGCAGUAGGGAAUAUUGGACAAUGGGCGAAAGCCUGAUCCAUCAAUGCCGCGUGAGUGAUGAACGCCUUAGGGCUGUAAAGCUCUUUUACCCGGGAUGAUAAUGACAGUACCGGGAGAAUAAGCUCCGGCUAACUCCGUGCCAGCAGCCGCGGUAAUACGGAGGGAGCUAGCGUUGUUCGGAAUUACUGGGCGUAAAGCGCACGUAGGCGGCUAUUCAAGUCAGAGGUGAAAGCCCGGGGCUCAACCCCGGAACUGCCUUUGAAACUAGAUAGCUUGAAUCCA